RNAcentral lists this unclassified non-coding RNA (400 nucleotides) under soil metagenome. Its description in RNAcentral is "partial contains 5.8S ribosomal RNA, internal transcribed spacer 2, and large subunit ribosomal RNA". The stretch from base 1 to 122 matches the Rfam family "5.8S ribosomal RNA", at positions 35 to 154 of the family's 154-position model. The record is from RNAcentral.
GAUGAAGAACGCAGCGAAAUGCGAUACUUGGUGUGAAUUGCAGAAUCCCGUGAACCAUCGAGUCUUUGAACGCAAGUUGCGCCUCAAGCCAUUAGGUUGAGGGCACGUCUGCCUGGGCGUCACAUAUCGUUGCCUGAUGCCAGUUUCCUCGUGAUGGGUGACUGUGCAGGGCGAAUGAUGGCUUCCCGUGAGCAUUGUUGCCUCAUGGUUGGUUGAAAAUUGAGUCCUUGGUAGGGAGCGCCGUGAUAGAUGGUGGUUGAGUGACGAACGAGACCAAAUCAUGUGAGACCCCUACCGAAUUUGGCCUUCAUGACCCACAUGCGUCUUUGGAACGCUCAUGACGAGACCUCAGGUCAGGCGGGGCUACCCGCUGAGUUUAAGCAUAUCAAUAAGCGGAGGA